This 370-nucleotide ribosomal RNA is filed under the name Cytobacillus firmus. RNAcentral describes it as "bacterial SSU rRNA". It matches the Rfam family "Bacterial small subunit ribosomal RNA", at positions 1 to 358 of the family's 1533-position model. Lineage: Bacteria; Bacillati; Bacillota; Bacilli; Caryophanales; Bacillaceae. The record is from RNAcentral.
UUAUAUGGAGAGUUUGAUCCUGGCUCAGGACGAACGCUGGCGGCGUGCCUAAUACAUGCAAGUCGAGCGGACGGAUGGGAGCUUGCUUCCAGACCGUCAGCGGCGGACGGGUGAGUAACACGUGGGCAACCUGCCUGUAAGACUGGGAUAACUCCGGGAAACCGGGGCUAAUACCGGAUAACUCUUUCCCUCACAUGAGGGAAAGCUGAAAGAUGGCAUCUCGCUAUCACUUACAGAUGGGCCCGCGGCGCAUUAGCUAGUUGGUGAGGUAACGGCUCACCAAGGCGACGAUGCGUAGCCGACCUGAGAGGGUGAUCGGCCACACUGGGACUGAGACACGGCCCAGACUCCUACGGGAGGCAGCAGUAGG